RNAcentral lists this ribosomal RNA (468 nucleotides) under uncultured bacterium. RNAcentral's name for it is "partial 16S ribosomal RNA". It matches the Rfam family "Bacterial small subunit ribosomal RNA", at positions 28 to 507 of the family's 1533-position model. The record is from RNAcentral.
GACGAACGCUGGCGGCGUGCUUAACACAUGCAAGUCGAACGGACAGGCCCUGCUUUUGUGGGGUGCUCGAGUGGCGAACGGGUGAGUAACACGUGAGUAACCUGCCCUUGACUUUGGGAUAACUUCAGGAAACUGGGGCUAAUACCGGAUAGGAGCUCCUGCUGCAUGGUGGGGGUUGGAAAGUUUCGGCGGUUGGGGAUGGACUCGCGGCUUAUCAGCUUGUUGGUGGGGUAGUGGCUUACCAAGGUUUUGACGGGUAGCCGGCCUGAGAGGGUGACCGGCCACAUUGGGACUGAGAUACGGCCCAGACUCCUACGGGAGGCAGCAGUGGGGAAUAUUGCACAAUGGGCGGAAGCCUGAUGCAGCAACGCCGCGUGCGGGAUGACGGCCUUCGGGGUGUAAACCGCUUUCGCCUGUGACGAAGCGGGAGUGACGGUAAUGGGUAAAGAAGCACCGGCUAACUACGUG